GAUGAACGCUGGCGGCGUGCUUAAUACAUGCAAGUCGAACGAACAGAUGCGGAUCUUGCUCCUCUCACGUUAGCGGCGGACGGGUGAUUCACACGUGUAUAACCUACCUAUAAGACUGGUAUAACGUCGGGACACCGGAUCUAAUACCGGAUAAUAUAUUGAACCGCAGGGUUCAAUAGUAAAAGACGGUUUUGCUGUCACGUAUAGAUGGAUCCUCGCCGCAUUAGCUAGUUGGUAAGGUAACGGCUUACCAAGGCUACGAUGCGUAGCCGACCUGAGAGGGGGAUCGGCCACACUGGAACUGAGACACGGCCCAGACUCCUACGGGAGGCAGCAGUAGGGAAUCUUCGGCAAUGGGGGCAAGCCUGACGGAGCAAGGCCGCGUGCGUGAUGAAGGUCUUCGGAUCGUAAACCUCUGUUAUGCGGGAAGAACAAAUGUGUACGUAAAUCUGGAGGGAUUGACGGUACCUGAUAAAAAAGCACCGGCUAACUACGUG
RNAcentral lists this ribosomal RNA (497 nucleotides) under uncultured bacterium. RNAcentral describes it as "partial 16S ribosomal RNA". It matches the Rfam family "Bacterial small subunit ribosomal RNA", at positions 28 to 507 of the family's 1533-position model. The record is from RNAcentral.